UACGGAAGGCAGCAGUGGGGAAUAUUGCACAAUGGGCGCAAGCCUGAUGCAGCCAUGCCGCGUGUAUGAAGAAGGCCUUCGGGUUGUAAAGUACUUUCAGCGGGGAGGAAGGCGAUGUGGUUAAUAACCGCGUCGAUUGACGUUACCCGCAGAAGAAGCACCGGCUAACUCCGUGCCAGCAGCCGCGGUAAUACGGAGGGUGCAAGCGUUAAUCGGAAUUACUGGGCGUAAAGCGCACGCAGGCGGUCUGUUAAGUCAGAUGUGAAAUCCCCGGGCUUAACCUGGGAACUGCAUUUUGAAACUGGCAGGCUUGAGUCUCGUAGAGGGGGUAGAAUUCCAGGUGUAGCGGUGAAAUGCGUAGAGAUCUGGAGGAAUACCGGUGGCGAAGGCGGCCCCUGGGACGAGACUGACGCUCAGGGUGCGAAAGCGUGGGGAGCAAACGAGGGAUUAGGAUACCCGGU
RNAcentral lists this ribosomal RNA (461 nucleotides) under uncultured bacterium. RNAcentral's name for it is "bacterial SSU rRNA". It matches the Rfam family "Bacterial small subunit ribosomal RNA", at positions 340 to 791 of the family's 1533-position model. The record is from RNAcentral.